This 151-nucleotide non-coding RNA is filed under the name Palpoteleia sp. ZL-2020. Lineage: Eukaryota; Metazoa; Arthropoda; Insecta; Hymenoptera; Scelionidae. The record is from RNAcentral.
AUGCUGCGUUAUUUGUAUCAAGGUUAAUACGCUUGGCGUGUUUUAUGAUACAAAUUCUAUCAAAACUAACAAAGCUUAUAAAAAUUUAUGGUGUUGCUUGUCCGUGGGUUCAUCUACAACAAAAAUGUAACGGACUGCUCGCAGCCUUUUU